ACCGGCGCAAGGGUGCGUAACGCGUGAGCAACAUGCCCGUAUCAGGGGAAUAAUCUAGGGAAACUUAGUCUAAUACCCCAUAGCAUUAUUAAUCGGCAUCGAUUUAUAAUUAAAGCUUUGGUGGAUACGGAUUGGCUCGCGUGACAUUAGUUAGAUGGUAAGGUAACGGCUUACCAUGACUAUGAUGUCUAGGGGUUCUGAGAGGAAGAUCCCCCACACUGGAACUGAGACACGGUCCAGACUCCUACGGGAGGCAGCAGUGAGGAAUAUUGGACAAUGGAUGGAAAUCUGAUCCAGCCAUGCCGCGUGCAGGAAGACGGUCCUAUGGAUUGUAAACUGCUUUUAUAUGGGAGCAAUAAGGUCUUUGCGAAGACUGAUGAGAGCACCAUAUGAAUAAGGAUCGGCUAACUCCGUGCCAGCAGCCGCGGUAAUACGGAGGAUCCAAGCGUUGUUCGGAUUUAUUGGGUUUAAAGGGUGCGUAGGCGGAUUUUUAAGUCAGUGGUGAAAGCCUGUAGCUCAACUACAGAAUUGCCAUUGAAACUGAAAAUCUUGAGUAUAGUUGAGGUGGAUGGAAUGUUGCAUGUAGCGGUGAAAUGCUU
Molecule: ribosomal RNA, 599 nt
Filed under: uncultured bacterium
Lineage: Bacteria
Description: bacterial SSU rRNA
Rfam family: Bacterial small subunit ribosomal RNA
Source: RNAcentral